This 1326-nucleotide ribosomal RNA is filed under the name metagenome. RNAcentral describes it as "bacterial LSU rRNA". It matches the Rfam family "Bacterial large subunit ribosomal RNA", at positions 1611 to 2925 of the family's 2925-position model. The record is from RNAcentral.
AAAAAAGCCACUAAGCUUCAGCUUACAACGACCGUACCGCAAACCGACACUGGUGCGCGAGAUGAGUAUUCUAAGGCGCUUGAGAGAACUCUGGAGAAGGAACUCGGCAAAUUGACACCGUAACUUCGGAAGAAGGUGUGCCUUUAGUAGGUGAUCCAUUUACUUGGUGAGCCCAAUGAGGCCGCAGAGAAUCGGUGGCUGCAACUGUUUAUUAAAAACACAGCACUCUGCAAAGACGAAAGUCGACGUAUAGGGUGUGACUCCUGCCCGGUGCUGGAAGAUUAAAUGAUGGGGUGCAAGCUCUUGACUGAAGUCCCAGUAAACGGCGGCCGUAACUAUAACGGUCCUAAGGUAGCGAAAUUCCUUGUCGGGUAAGUUCCGACCUGCACGAAUGGAGUAAUGAUGGCCACACUGUCUCCUCCAGAGACUCAGCGAAGUUGAAAUGUUUGUGAUGAUGCAAUCUCCCCGCGGAAAGACGGAAAGACCCCAUGAACCUUUACUGUAGCUUUACAUUGGACUUUGAACAGAUCUGUGUAGGAUAGGUGGGAGGCUUUGAAACUCAGUCGCUAGAUUGAGUGGAGCCAACGUUGAAAUACCACCCUGGUGUGUUUGAGGUUCUAACCUUGUCCCGUUAUCCGGGAUGGGGACAGUGUAUGGUGGGCAGUUUGACUGGGGCGGUCUCCUCCCAAAGUGUAACGGAGGAGUUCGAAGGUACGCUAGAUACGGUCGGAAAUCGUGUCGAUAGUGCAUUGGCAUAAGCGUGCUUGACUGCGAGACUGACAAGUCGAGCAGGUACGAAAGUAGGACAAAGUGAUCCGGUGGUUCUGUAUGGAGGGGCCAUCGCUCAACGGAUAAAAGGUACUCUGGGGAUAACAGGCUGAUACCGCCCAAGAGUUCAUAUCGACGGCGGUGUUUUGGCACCUCGAUGUCGGCUCAUCUCAUCCUGGGGCUGUAGCCGGUCCCAAGGGUAUGGCUGUUCGCCAUUUAAAGAGGUACGUGAGCUGGGUUUAAAACGUCGUGAGACAGUUUGGUCCCUAUCUUCCGUGGGCGCUGCAAGAUUGAGAGAGCCUGCUCCUAGUACGAGAGGACCGGAGUGGACGCACCUCUGGUGUAUCGGUUGUCACGCCAGUGGCAUUGCCGAGUAGCUAAGUGCGGAAGAGAUAACCGCUGAAAGCAUCUAAGCGGGAAACUCGUCUCAAGAUGAGUCUUGCCGGGGCCUAGAGCCCCCUGAAGGGUCGUUCGAGACCAGGACGUUGAUAGGCUGGGUGUGGAAGCGCAGUAAUGCGUUAAGCUAACCAGUACUAAUUGCCCGUGAGGCUUGACCCU